RNAcentral lists this ribosomal RNA (198 nucleotides) under uncultured bacterium. RNAcentral describes it as "partial 16S ribosomal RNA". It matches the Rfam family "Bacterial small subunit ribosomal RNA", at positions 328 to 544 of the family's 1533-position model. The record is from RNAcentral.
ACGCUCGACACCUACGGGGGCAGCAGUGGGGAAUAUUGCACAAUGGGGGAAACCCUGAUGCAGCGACGCCGCGUGGNGGAAGAAGGUCUUCGGAUUGUAAACUCCUGUUGUUGGGGAAAAAGAGGAUGGUACCCAACAAGGAAGUGACGGCUAACUACGUGCCGGCAGUCGCGGUAAUCUGAGCGGGCGUGGCAAGGC